AUUGAACGCUGGCGGCAGGCCUAAGACAUGCAAGUCGAGCGAGAAAGUACUUCGGUACGAGUACAGCGGCGGACGGGUGAGUAACGCGUAGGAAUCUACCCAGUAGUGGGGGACAACUCGGGGAAACUCGAGCUAAUACCGCAUACGCCCUACGGGGGAAAGCGGGGGAUCUUCGGACCUCGUGCUAUUGGAUGAGCCUGCGUAAGAUUAGCUUGUUGGUGAGGUAAUGGCUCACCAAGGCUACGAUCUUUAGCUGGUCUGAGAGGAUGAUCAGCCACACCGGGACUGAGACACGGCCCGGACUCCUACGGGAGGCAGCAGUCGGGAAUAUUGCGCAAUGGGCGAAAGCCUGACGCAGCCAUGCCGCGUGUGUGAAGAAGGCCCUAGGGUUGUAAAGCACUUUCAAUUGUGAGGAAAGGUUGACGAUUAAUACUCGUCAGCUGUGACGUUAACUUUAGAAGAAGCACCGGCUAACUCCG
This 479-nucleotide ribosomal RNA is filed under the name uncultured Alteromonadales bacterium. RNAcentral's name for it is "bacterial SSU rRNA". It matches the Rfam family "Bacterial small subunit ribosomal RNA", at positions 30 to 505 of the family's 1533-position model. The record is from RNAcentral. Lineage: Bacteria; Pseudomonadati; Pseudomonadota; Gammaproteobacteria; Alteromonadales.